GUGCCUUUAGUUCAAUUGGUAGAACCCCCGGCUCAUAACCGGAAAGUUUUGGAUUCAAGUUCCAAAGGGCACACCA
RNAcentral lists this transfer RNA (76 nucleotides) under Lachnospiraceae bacterium. Its description in RNAcentral is "tRNA-Met". It matches the Rfam family "tRNA". Rfam says of the family: Transfer RNA (tRNA) molecules are approximately 80 nucleotides in length. Their secondary structure includes four short double-helical elements and three loops (D, anti-codon, and T loops). Lineage: Bacteria; Bacillati; Bacillota; Clostridia; Lachnospirales; Lachnospiraceae. The record is from RNAcentral.